This 253-nucleotide ribosomal RNA is filed under the name uncultured bacterium. RNAcentral's name for it is "partial 16S ribosomal RNA". It matches the Rfam family "Bacterial small subunit ribosomal RNA", at positions 524 to 776 of the family's 1533-position model. The record is from RNAcentral.
UACGUAGGGUGCGAGCGUUAAUCGGAAUUACUGGGCGUAAAGCGUGCGCAGGCGGUUCGCUAAGACCGAUGUGAAAUCCCCGGGCUUAACCUGGGAACUGCAUUGGUGACUGGCGGGCUAGAGUAUGGCAGAGGGGGGUAGAAUUCCACGUGUAGCAGUGGAAUGCGUAGAGAUGUGGAGGAAUACCGAUGGCGAAGGCAGCCCCCUGGGCCAAUACUGACGCUCAUGCACGAAAGCGUGGGGAGCAAACAGG